This 800-nucleotide ribosomal RNA is filed under the name uncultured bacterium. RNAcentral describes it as "bacterial SSU rRNA". It matches the Rfam family "Bacterial small subunit ribosomal RNA", at positions 8 to 800 of the family's 1533-position model. The record is from RNAcentral.
AGAGUUUGAUCCUGGCUCAGAAUGAACGCUGGCGGCGUGUUUAAGACAUGCAAGUCGAACGGAGUAACAUGAGUAGCAAUACAAGUGUUGCUCAGUGGCGCACGGGUGCGUAACACGUGAGUUACAUGCCCUGCAGAGAGGGAUAGCCCAGGGAAACUUGGAUUAAUACCUCAUGGUCUCGCAAGAGUAAAGAUGGCCGUAAGGCUGUCGCUGCAGGAUUGGCUCGCGGCCUAUCAGCUAGUUGGUGAGGUAACGGCUCACCAAGGCUACGACGGGUACCUGGUCUGAGAGGACGAUCAGGCACACUGGAACUGAGACACGGUCCAGACACCUACGGGUGGCAGCAGUCGAGAAUCAUUCACAAUGGGGGAAACCCUGAUGGUGCAACGCCGCGUGGAGGAAGAAGGUCUUCGGAUUGUAAACUCCCGUCAUCUAGGAGCAAGGCAUGGUGGUGAAUAGCCAACAUGAUUGAUAGUACUAGAAGAGGAAGGGACGGCUAACUUCGUGCCAGCAGCCGCGGUAAUACGAAGGUCCCGAGCGUUAUUCGGAAUCACUGGGCGUAAAGGGAGCGUAGGCGGCGUGGAAAGUCAGAUGUGAAAUCCCAGAGCUUAACUCUGGAACUGCAUCCGAUACUACCAUGCUAGAGUAUUGGAGGGGUAACUGGAAUUCUCGGUGUAGCAGUGAAAUGCGUAGAUAUCGAGAGGAACACUCGUGGCGAAAGCGAGUUACUGGACAAUUACUGACGCUGAGGCUCGAAGGCUAGGGGAGCAAAAGGGAUUAGAUACCCCUGUAGUCCUAGC